This 497-nucleotide ribosomal RNA is filed under the name uncultured bacterium. RNAcentral describes it as "partial 16S ribosomal RNA". It matches the Rfam family "Bacterial small subunit ribosomal RNA", at positions 28 to 507 of the family's 1533-position model. The record is from RNAcentral.
GAUGAACGCUGGCGGCGUGCCUAAUACAUGCAAGUAGAACGCUGUAGGAAGGAGCUUGCUCUUUCCGGAUGAGUUGCGAACGGGUGAGUAACGCGUAGGUAACCUGCCUGGUAGCGGGGGAUAACUAUUGGAAACGAUAGCUAAUACCGCAUAACAGUAGAUGUUGCAUGAUAUCUACUUAAAAGGUGCAAUUGCACCACUACCAGAUGGACCUGCGUUGUAUUAGCUAGUUGGUGAGGUAACGGCUCACCAAGGCGACGAUACAUAGCCGACCUGAGAGGGUGAUCGGCCACACUGGGACUGAGACACGGCCCAGACUCCUACGGGAGGCAGCAGUAGGGAAUCUUCGGCAAUGGACGGAAGUCUGACCGAGCAACGCCGCGUGAGUGAAGAAGGUUUUCGGAUCGUAAAGCUCUGUUGUAAGAGAAGAACGAGUGUGAGAGUGGAAAGUUCACACUGUGACGGUAGCUUACCAGAAAGGGACGGCUAACUACGUG